GGGACACGUGGUAUCCUGUCUGAAUAUGGGGGGACCAUCCUCCAAGGCUAAAUACUCCUGACUGACCGAUAGUGAACCAGUACCGUGAGGGAAAGGCGAAAAGAACCCCGGCGAGGGGAGUGAAAAAGAACCUGAAACCGUGUACGUACAAGCAGUGGGAGCACCUUCGGGUGUGACUGCGUACCUUUUGUAUAAUGGGUCAGCGACUUAUAUUCUGUAGCAAGGUUAACCGUAUAGGGGAGCCGCAGGGAAACCGAGUCUUAACUGGGCGUUAAGUUGCAGGGUAUAGACCCGAAACCCGGUGAUCUAGCCAUGGGCAGGUUGAAGGUUGGGUAACACUAACUGGAGGACCGAACCGACUAAUGUUGAAAAAUUAGCGGAUGACUUGUGGCUGGGGGUGAAAGGCCAAUCAAACCGGGAGAUAGCUGGUUCUCCCCGAAAGCUAUUUAGGUAGCGCCUCGUGAACUCAUCUUCGGGGGUAGAGCACUGUUUCGGCUAGGGGGUCAUCCCGACUUACCAACCCGAUGCAAACUACGAAUACCGAAGAAUGUUAUCACGGGAGACACACGGCGGGUGCUAACGUCCGUCGUGAAGAGGGAAACAACCCAGACCGCCAGCUAAGGUCCCAAAGUCAUGGUUAAGUGGGAAACGAUGUGGGAAGGCACAGACAGCCAGGAUGUUGGCUUAGAAGCAGCCAUCAUUUAAAGAAAGCGUAAUAGCUCACUGGUCGAGUCGGCCUGCGCGGAAGAUGUAACGGGGCUAAACCAUGCACCGAAGCUGCGGCAGCGACACUAUGUGUUGUUGGGUAGGGGAGCGUUCUGUAAGCCUGCGAAGGUGU
This 838-nucleotide ribosomal RNA is filed under the name Klebsiella pneumoniae. RNAcentral's name for it is "partial 23S ribosomal RNA". It matches the Rfam family "Bacterial large subunit ribosomal RNA", at positions 419 to 1259 of the family's 2925-position model. Lineage: Bacteria; Pseudomonadati; Pseudomonadota; Gammaproteobacteria; Enterobacterales; Enterobacteriaceae. The record is from RNAcentral.